Mustela erminea (ermine) is the source of this 425-nucleotide long non-coding RNA. RefSeq lists it as uncharacterized. Lineage: Eukaryota; Metazoa; Chordata; Mammalia; Carnivora; Mustelidae. The record is from RefSeq and is a predicted model, not a curated record. The transcript has 4 exons.
UUCAAGGCUGGAAGCACGGCUCUCAGAAAGCUUUGCUGGGAGGUCAGGGCUGGCAGAGACAGUGAUCUGUCUGUCUUUCCAUCAGCCCAUCAGCCUACUGCUCCCCAACCUCCCUCUCAGUCUCCAUCCUAGUCUCUUCCAGGAGGGCAAGGCCUGAGUCCAUCACCCAGGAAGGUCGGUGGCAGGAACUCACCUUUCAAGAUGCUGAAGUUGCUGCAGCUGGUCCUGCCACAUCUGGGAAUUUAUCCACCCAUUUGGCUGGGGCAGCCCCCGCCACAGAUCAGAAGAAGAAACUCAUCGGGCAGAUGGAGUCGGAAAGCUGGGAGGAAGCGCAGUCGGCAGUCUUCUUCCAGAGAUUCCAGGGCUGAGAAGUAGGAAUCUGAGUACAGAACUAUCCCUCAUAAGAUUUCCAGGAGUGAAAGGAG